This 17750-nucleotide long non-coding RNA is filed under the name Malus domestica (apple). RNAcentral describes it as "long non-coding RNA (MDOM_LNC005251)". Lineage: Eukaryota; Viridiplantae; Streptophyta; Magnoliopsida; Rosales; Rosaceae. The record is from RNAcentral.
AAGGUAAACACAUUUCAAUCCAUUACGGAUCAAAAUAAGUUUUUCUCAUUUGGGCAAUGACAAAGCAAGAACACUUCAAGUUUAAAAUUGUAUCAAGUGGGAAAAUUAGGCCAUAAGUUAGACCAUUUAAGUUUAAAAUGGUAUUAAGUGGGAAAUUAGGUCAAAUAUUAGACCACUUUAAUUUCAAUAUUGCAUUAAGUGGGAAAAUUAGGUAAUGGUGCUUAAGCGGGAAAAUUUUGUGCUGGUGAUUCAUUCUCAAAGCCUAUAAAUAGGCUUUUCCAUCAAGGUAUCAGGCAUCCUAAAAAAAAAACACCAAUUCACAUUACACAAAUACCUUGAAGCUUUGAAACUCUACGCUCUCAAGCAAAUCCCUAAGGAUCAAGAAAACCCUCUUCGUUCUUCGUCAAAUCCUCCUUCAAGAUCAAGCCCUAACGUCUCUUGAAGAACUUCCACCAAUUCAAGAUCAAGCAUUGACGAUCCUUGAAGAAAGUGUUCAUCGUUCAUCAUCCGUUCAUCCUAAGAUCAAGUCCCAACGACCCUUUGAAUCAACAACAUCAACAAAUCCACACAUUCAUUCUUCAAGAUCAAGCCCAAAAGCUCUUGAAGAUCUGUUCAUCCUUAAACCUUCAAGAUCAAGCCCAAAAGCCCUUGAAGGAACUUCCCUCAACCUUCAAGAUCAAGCCCCGAGGGCUCUUGAAGAAACUUCCAACAGUUCAUCCAAGAUCAAGCCUCGACGACCCUUGGAUUAACAAAACAUCCACAAAUCAACACCUUACGGAGAUCGAAUCAGAGGAUCAAGUUAUAAAGAGAUUGUAACCCUACAAAUCUAUUAACACCAAAAUCUUUCUUUGUACACGUUCUUGUUUCAAGAAUUUUCAUGUUCACAAAUUUGGCACACCCAGUGGGACAUGUCUCUACCUCUCAUCUCUUUCUCCAUUAAAGGAAAUCAAAGCACACAUUUGAAAAUCAAAUGACAUCAAGGAAGGUUCAAGCGGUUUCCUCAACCAACGCGAAGAACAAGAACAUCAUCGCCGCAAGUGGGGACACCAAGAAGCUUAAACGAGGCCGGAUGAUUGACACCAAGGAUUCAAGAUAAAAACCCUCGAUAUGCACGCCUUCUUCUUUGUAUUUGGUCGAACAGAGUCUACCACCUCCUAAGAUACUUCGAAAGACCACGACUUAAUAUGCAUGAAGUUGUCUUUCGCGAGAAGAGCAAGCGUCUUAGGACCAGUCAGUGGCACGUUCACUUCAACGUUGUUCCCUUAUCUUGCGAAUCGCCGUCCUUCGCAAGAAUGGUAAUGGUGUUGCUUUUAAAACACUUGAAAAAUACCAUGACUGCAAGAAAAAAAAAUCAGCCACAAAACUUGAGUAGCACGGCAAAUAGGGCAGCUACAGGGCGGUCCUUCAAAGCACGCUACACUGGCAAAGAAAACCAAAAUGCUACGCAAUCGCACUACACAGCAAAAUCCCGCUGCAGUAUUUUGCACAGCACCACGUGGUCUGCGACAAGCUCCAAGCUCCAAGCUCCAAGCUCCAAAGUUCACCAAUCCGACAAGCAACAAAGUAGAGAAUAACGUUCACAGCAGAAGAAGGUUAUGUCUAUGGUCAUUUUAUAGGCUCAACUCGUCCGUCCAAGUGAAGAAAAGAAAAGAAAAAAAAAUAUAAAUAUAAUAAUAUAAUAUAAUAAAAAAAAUUUUGAGUGCUUCAUGCACCAUGUUAAAGAAAACAUAAAAUAUAUGUAUAUAUUAUUAAAAAAAUUUGGGUGCUUCUGGAACCAUGCAAAGAAAAUAAUAAAAAAAUAACAAAAAAAAAAAUAUAUAUAUAAAAGGUCUUCAGUGCAUCAGGCACCAUCUUAAAAGAAUAAAAAAAAUAUACAAAAGGUUUUUUCUUUUGGUGCUUCACGCACCAUGAGAAUAAAAAAAUACAACAACAACAACAACAAAGCCUUUUCCCACUAAGUGGGGUCGGCUAUAUGAAUCCUAGAACGCCAUUGCGCUCGGUUUUGUGUCAUGUCCUCCGUUAGAUCCAAGUACUCAAGUCUUUUCUUAGGGUCUCUUCCAAAGUUUUCCUAGGUCUUCCUCUACCCCUUCGGCCCUGAACCUCUGUCCCGUAGUCACAUUUUCGAACCGGAGCAUCAGUAGGCCUUCUUUGCACAAGUCCAAACCACCGGAACCGAUUUUCUCUCAUAUUUCCUUCAAUUUUGGCUACUCCUACUUUACCUCGAAUAACCUCAUUCCCAAUCUUAUCCUUUCUCGUGUGCCCAUACAUCCCACAAAGCAUCCUCAUCUCCGCUACACCCAUUUUGUGUACGUUGAUGCUUCACUGCCCAACAUUCUGUGCCAUACAACAUCGCUGGCCUUAUUGCCGUCCUAUAAAAUUUUCCCUUGAACUUCAGUGGCCUACGACGGUCACACAACACGCCGGAUGCACUCUUACACUUCAUCCAUCCAGCUUGUAUUCUAUGGUUGAGAUCUCCAUCUAAUUCUCCGUUCUCUUGCAAGAUAGAUCCUAGGUAGCGAAAACGGUCACUUUUUGUGAUCUUCGCUAGAUUGCUCCGGUCAUUAGUGUGGAUAAGUAUAUAAAUGGAUAGAGAUAGGAAAGCAAACACAAGAUGUACGUGGUUCACCCAGAUUGGCUACGUCCACGGAAUAGAGGAGUUCUCAUUAAUUGUGAAGGGUUUACACAAAAGCAAACACAAGAUGUACGUGGUUCACCCAGAUUGGCUACGUCCACAGAAUAGAGGAGUUCUCAUUAAUUGUGAAGGGUUUACACAAGUACAUAGGUUCAAGCUCUCCUUUAGUGAGUACAAGUGAAUGAUUUAGUACAAAUGACAUUAGGAAAUAUUGUGGGAGAAUGAUCUCGUAGCCACGAAACUUCUAAGUACCGGAGUGUGGUAUCGUCUUGACUUGCCUUAUCUGUCUCAUAGGUAGAUGUGGCAUCUUCUCUGGAAGUACUCUUCCUCCAUCCAGGGGUGGUAUCUGUAACUGGUGGAGAUGCACAAGGUAAUGUAUCAAUUUCACUUGAAGCUUACUUGUAGUUUCAUGCUUGGUCAAGCGCGAUACAAACCAUGUAGUAGGAGUCCCCCAAGUCGCCGAGCUAGGGGAUCUGCUGAAAGAUGUGACAGACAAGGUAAGCAAUCAGAGUUCCGGCUGAUUGUUCACAUUCUCCCUAUCUUGCAGGCAGCAUGAAGGAUAAAGAGAAGAAAAAUGAGGAGAGAUGAUAUGGGAUACUUUUGCUUUUGAAGAAGUUCCACAGGCUUAUUCUUGAACUGGGCUGGAGGGUUUUCUGGUUUCCUCCAGAGUAUAAGGCCGACUGAAGAAUUUGAGGGUCAAAACAAGUCCAUCAAAUCUAUAGUACGUUCGACCCUGCUGAUAUGGGAUACUUUUGCUUUUGACAGAGUAGUGGAUGUAUCAGCACGUGUGCUGUUACGCUUGUCUCCACAUGCUUCCUUGUAUCCUUCUCACUUGCCCUAUUUGUUCCUCAGGCAGAUGCGGUAUCUUCCCUGGAAGCAUAAGAUGUUGAAGAUGAGUACUCGAGAGCAAUGCCAGGUAAGUAAUCAGGUAAGGGUUCCAGGCAGUUAGUUCCUGGCUGGAAGCUUGAUUCCAAGUGCUGACUGAUUGCUCUCUUUCUCCUUGUCUUGCAGGUAAGAACAAGGCCAAAGGAAAAGACAGGGAAAAAAGCAUGAUAUGGGAUACUCUUGCUUUUAACCCUGAUGAUAUGAGAUAUUCUUGCUCUAGUAUAGCUUGUUUACAGAGGUAUUAUCGGGGGGAAAAGAAGCUGAAUAUUUCGAAAGGCUUCGUUGGGAGUGCCCUCUCAGAUAAGAGAAAGGGUUGAGCAUUUUUGCAGGUCUGCCUGUCCGUUAGGGAUGGAGGUCGACAUAUAUAGGAGUCUCCCUAACAUCAAGUAAUAAUGCUAUUCCUUUACCCUGCUUGGUUAUAGCACGGUAGUGGGAGCUGUCAGCUUCACAUGUUUUAACUCUGUCAGAGCACUUUGAAAAAGUGGUCUGUGGUAUCUGGAAAGCUGAUGUUGCGUGUGAAGAUUACAGACAAGCUUUAUCCAAGGAGAUCCAGCUCUUGAAGUUGGGAAAGUGGUGCCUCUUCGAUUUUCGAACAAGCAAUCCUGUCGGGGAUCUGGCUCUCGAGAUUCGAAGAACGAUGCCUCUUCGAUUUUUGAGAAAGCAAUCCUGCUGGGGGUCUGGCUCUCGAGAUUCGAAGAGCGGUGUCUCUUCGAUUUUUGAGAAAGUAAUCAUGUUGGGAGUCUGACUCUCGAGAUUCGGAGGGCGGAGCCUCUUCGAUUUUGGAGCAAGCAAUCUUGUUGGGAGUGUUUUCUCGAAUGUGAGUAAAGGUUGGACGUGUUUGUUAGUCUACCUUGCCACGAAGCACAGAGGUUGACACACAGGGACUUUCCAAUUAUCCAGCAGUGGUACUGUUCCUUUACCCUCUCUUCGAUUUUUGAGAAAGUAAUCAUGUUGGGAGUCUGGCUCUCGAGAUUCGGCGGGCGGUGCCUCUUCGAUUUUGGAGCAAGCAAUCUUGUUGGGAGUGUUUUCUCGAAUGUGAGUAAAGGUUGGGCAUGUUUGCUAGUCUACCUUGCCACGAAGCACAAAGGUUGACACACAGGGACUUUCCAAUUAUCCAGCAGUGGUACCGUUCCUUUACCCUCUCUUCGAUUUUUGAGAAAGUAAUCAUGUUGGGAGUCUGGCUCUCGAGAUUCGGAGGGCGGUGCCUCUUCGAUUUUGGAGCAAGCAAUCUUGUUGGGAGUGUUUUCUCGAAUGUGAGUACAGGUUGGGCAUGUUUGCUAGUCUACCUUGCCACGAAGCACAGAGGUUGACACACCGGGACUUUCCAAUUAUCCAGCAGUGGUACUGUUCCUUUACCCUUGUGGGUAAUAAUAUGGUAGCUAGACCUUCAAAAUUUAUGUGUUUAAACUUUGUUAGUGUUGUUUCUUUGCAAUUCUUUUACCCUUCUAGGUCAGAGCGAUGUAGUGGUAGCUGCAAGCUUCACGUGUCUCAACUUUGUCAGAGAACUUUGGCAAAGUUAUCUGUGGUACCCAUGAGCUACUGUUGCGUGUGGGAAGUGGGUGAUUGAACAGUACGAUUCAUGUGCUUUCUACUUCGUCAGAAAUCUUCGACAGAAUGCCCAUAAUUUCCGCAAAGCUGAGUGUGCGUGUGACAGGUGCUGACAAGGCUGGAAAAGUAGGUGCCUCUUCGAUUUCUGAGAUCGGCCCUCGUGGUCUCUGAGCAUCCCAGCUUUUGAGAAAGCAAGCCUCUUCGAUUUUUGAGAUCGGCCUUCGUGGUCUUUGAGCAGCCCAGCUUUUGAGAAAGCAAACGCCUCUUCGAUUUCUGAGAUCGACCCUCGUGGUCUCUGAGCAGCCCAGCUUUUGAGAAAGCAAACGCCUCUUCGAUUUCUGAGCAGGCGCCUCUUCGAUUUCUGAAGCUUCGUCGAGUACAGAUUUUUAUAGGGGCUGACAUUAAGUUCCAAAGCACACUUGAAUAUCCACCAGUAGAACUCCAUUCUUGCACUUCUAAGAUACUCUGACUUUGAUUGAUUUCCUCUUUGACUUGACUCUCGACUUCUCUUUCUCUUCAACACCUUUGAAAAUGUCUGGCCCCUCCGACCGUCGUUUUAACUUGAACCUUGUUGAAGAGGCAGCCCCGCCUUCUCCAGACAACAUAUGGCGCCCAUCCUUCGUCUCCCUACUGGUCCUCUUACCGUUGGGGAUUCCGUGAUGAAGAAUGAUAUGACCGCUGCGGUAGUGGCCAGGAACCUUCUCACUCCCAAAGAUAACAGACUACUUUCCAAACGGUCUGAUGAGUUGGCUGUUAAGGAUUCUCUGGCUCUCAGUGUUCAGUGUGCAGGUUCUGUGUCUAAUAUGGCCCAACGCCUAUUUGCUCGAACCCGCCAAGUUGAAUCAUUGGCGGCUGAAGUGAUGAGUCUCAAACAGGAGAUUAGAGGGCUCAAGCAUGAGAAUAAACAGUUGCACCGGCUCGCACAUGACUAUGCUACAAACAUGAAGAGGAAGCUUGACCAGAUGAAGGAAUCUGAUGGUCAGGUUUUACUUGAUCAUCAGAGAUUUGUGGGUUUGUUCCAAAGGCAUUUAUUGCCUUCGUCUUCUGGAGCUGUACCGCGUAAUGAAGCUCCAAAUGAUCAACCUCUGAUGCCUCCUCCUUCUAGGGUUUGUGUCCAGUACUGAGGCUCCGAAUGAUCCUCCUCCGGUGCCUUCUCUUUCUGGGGCUCUACCGCCUGCUGAGACUUCUCCUAAGCAACCUUUGUGAAGGCUCUCCUCUUGUUUGUUUAUUUUGACUCAAGUAUAUGUACAUAUUUGUAACUUAUCGGGGAUAUCAAUAAAUAAGUUUUCCUUCAUUUCAACGUAUUGUGUUAAAUACACCAAAGCCUUCUUCGCUAAGUUCUUUGAAUUUUCUUUUGUUGAAGCUUGUAUGUUGAAGCUUUGUGAGUGGAGCAUAUAGGUUGAGGUAGUGUUCCCUUAAUUUCCCGAGUGAGGAAAACUUCGUGGUUGGAGACUUGGAAAAUCCAAGUCACUGAGUGGGAUCGGCUAUAUGAAUCUUAGAACGCCAUUGUAAGUUUACAUAAUGCUUCAAUCAGUCUUCCUAAAAAUAUGCACUGAUUGGUCAAGGCGCAGAGAAGGAAAAAAAAAAAAAGUACCACAUCUUUGUUAAAAUGAAAUAAAACUCAUUUAUUAUUUCUCUAAAAAUUUACAUAAAUGAACAUUUUUACAUGAGUCCAAAAAAAAAAAAAAAACAAAACAAACAAACAAUAGGGAGCCUUCAUAAAGUUUGAUCAGGUGCCGCCUCAUCACUCGGUGGAACGUCAGGAAGAAGAGGCACCGGAGGUCGACUGUUUGGAGCCUCAACACUCGGAGGUCGAUUCUUGCAGUCAUGGUAUUUUUCAAGUGUUUUAAGAGCAACACUAAAACCAUUCUUGCGAAGGACGGCGAUUCGCAAGAUAAGGGAACAACGUUGAAGCUUUAUGCGCCACUGACUGGUCCUAAGGCGCUUGCUCUUCUCGCGAAAGACAACUCUAUGCAUAUUAAGUCGUGGUCUUCCGAAGUAUCUUGGGAGGUGGUAGACUUUGUUCGACCAAAUACGAAGAAGAAGUGUGCAUAUCGAGGGUUCUUAUCUUGAAUCCUUCGCACCAUGCUCGUGACAAUCAUCCGGCCUUGUUUAAGCUUCUUGGUGAUCACAUCCGCAGUGGAGCUAUGGCUUGGAAUGGUACCCUGUCGACUACUGGAGAAGCCGUCUUUGAUGAGUUUUAUUGGGAGUGGCUUGAAGAUGUCUUAAGCCGAUCUGAAGAUGUGCUUACUAACGUGGGCCUUUGCCUUCGCCCAUGAGCGGUAGGUCUCGGGUUCGAGACUUGGGAGCAGCCUCUCCAUAAAUGGGGGUAAGGCUAGCCGACAUUCACCUCUCACAGACCCUGCUUAAAGCGGGAGCCUUGUGCACUGGGUACGACCUUUAUGAUCGCCAUCCUUCCGUCCUUCGUGCGUUCUUUGAGCAUUGGUGAUCGGCGACCAACACACUUCACACGACGCAAAUGGAGAUGUCAAUUUCACUUUGGGAUAUUCACAGGAUAGGAGGCUUGCCGAUCCAAGGUAAGUUUUACGACGAGAUCGUUCCUAGCACGGAGGAACUCUCUUUGCAAUAGCCGAGGAUUGCCUGCGAGUUGCCGCUGUUUGUUUUGGGCGUAUCACAAGCUUUUUCAGGAUGCUCAAGGUAAAUCAGGCGUGAGGAUUUCCUCAUGGAUCCGAUUUUGGUGCUGGGAGACCGUGAGGUAUAAGAAGCCUUUGAAGAAUACUGGCUGUAACAAGACCACUAAGCUAAAGGGAGACUCAGACCCGUCCGGUGUUAUUGGCUCAACCAAGCGCCGCUCUUCUGACGAGGUGAGAGCGUUUGAGGAUCUUGGCAUAACAUCAGAGCAUGUGGAUGAGUCUUACCUAGCUGCUUUCUUAGCUUGUUGGCUUUGUAAGUUUGUUUUCCCAACAGGCGACGUCAACUUAGUUCGUCCUGGAGUUUUCAAAGUUGCUACCAAGAUGGCUGCAGGUGAGUCUUUUAGCCUUGCUAUUCCGGUCUUAACCAACAUUUAUAAUGACUUGAGCAUUGUUUCGAACUCGGCAAGCACUGAAGAUCGUGAUGCGGUGCUUCCUUACCACUAUGUGUAUGGUUGGUUGGGUGAAUACUUUGGCACUCAUUUUUCUUUGUCGACUCUAGACAAGUCAAGGCCUUCUUUAUCGACUGCAGCCAAGCUGGGGCCUUUGAUGACGAAAUAUUCUGGCGUGCUCUCCGCAAAGAGCCUUGAUGAUUUGCAGGUGCGAGCGCUGUUUAAAAGUUGUGAAGAUUUGAGGAUUAACCCCCUAGCGAGAGCUAGCUCGGUGCGGCUAGGCAUCGUAGACAAUUCGCCUCUCUGCUUCUCAAACUUGUCUUAUCUUAUAAGUCUUCACUCGGGGUUUGUUUCUUUGCCUUCUUGGAUUAUGAUGUGGAAGACAUCUUGGACUUCCUCUUCAGUGCCGUCAUGUUGGGCUUGUUGGCAUGAAGAUUGUCCAGUGUGGAUGAUGGUACGCCUUCUUACUUUCAGUGGUCCAUUUGUGUCAACCUCCAAGAUUACUUGGCGCUUCAUCCUUAAAGGAAUUGAGCUUCGAAUAUCGCAUUUUUCUGCUAGCCUGUCGAGCUUUUCUUCCUUUGACGUUGUCUCCCUAUUUCUAGAAAACUUCUUGUUGUCUUCAAGUCGUUCCAAAGCUGACCGACGAGGAGGAGAGCUAGUCGUGUUGCUUUGCUUCUUAGGUUUUGACGAGGAGGAGAGCAAAGCAACAUGGCUAGCUCUCUUCCUUGUCGGUCAGCUUUGGAACGACUUGAAGAUAACAAGAAUUUUUCUAGAAAUAGGGAGACAACGUCAAAGGAAGAAAAGCUCGACAGGCUAGCAGAAAAAGGCGAUAUUCAAAGCUCAAUUCUUUCGAGGAUGAAAUGCCAAACAAUCUUGGAGGUUGACACAAAUGGACCACUGAAAGUAAGAAGGCGCACCAUCAUCCACACUGGACAAUCUUCAUGCCAACAAGCCCAAGAGGACGGCACUGAAGAGGAAGUCCAAGAUGUCUUCCACAUCACAAUCCAAGAAGGCAAAGAAACAAACCCCGAGCGAAGACUUAUAAGAUAAGACAAGUUUGAGAAGCGGAGAUGUGAAUUGUCUACGAUGCCUUGCUGCACCGAGCCAGCUCUCGCUAAGGGGUCCAUCCUCAAAUCUUCACAACUUUUAAACAACGCUCGUAUCUGCAAAUCAUCAAGGCUUUUUGCGGAGAGUGAUAGAAGCAUAUUUAUGCGACUUAGUUAACAUGUUUUCUUGCACUUACUUAGUUAGUUAUUGCUUAUAAGAGUAUUUUAAGCCAUUUUCGUAUGUUGGUAGGUCCUAAUAACAAAGUUGGCAAGAAAAGUGCAUUUUGGAGCAAUUUUGGGCUGAAAUGGAUUGCAUGCACUUGGAGACAUGAGGAUGGACGUUUUGGGAAGAUUAGAAUUUAGCAUAUGUGUGUGCAAGUGUGUGACCUACAACUAACAAACAUCAUAGCUGCCAUGUGAUGGAGACCAUGUAUUGAUUGUGGCUGAUAUGAUGAAGAUGUGUGUGUGCAAAUGCAAAAGUAAACAAUGACAGCAUAAACACAUGGAAACCCACGGCAAGGACAGGUUGGAGGGCAGCAAAUGGGUGAUUUGUGGCUGAAAUAAUGAAGAGCAUGUGUGUGUGCAAGUGUGACAGCUUGUGGAUGUGGAAAUAAUGAUAACAUGACAACAAAGACACAUGCAAAGAGGCAUUGAGCACCAUCCCUCACACUUGUGCAGCAGUAACCCUUCAUCAUUACUUAACAUUUAUGCCACAAGAACAUGGAGACAACAUCAUACAAGGCAUGUGCAAAAGAGAAACAUGGACAUCCAACAAAUUCGUCAAAACUACCUGUGCAGAUUAGCUGACUUUGGAAGCAUGUUACGAACAGCUCAGAAUAAAUGAGAGAAUGAGCCUUAUAUGCUUGGAAAGCUACGGAUGUCUAUUUUCUGGGGCAAUUUACGGAUUGUUAAUAUCAUUUUUCUAGAAGAAGUUAUGGGCAUUGUAGCAUUGAAAGGUUCAAAAAAGGGCUAAGCAGAUUAGGCUAAUAAAAUGAGAAAGUAAAUGCACUUGUUUUGUGUUUUGCUUUGUCAUCAACACUCAGCAUCAAAUGGGGUUAUGAUUGCACUCAUUUGGCUUUGGAGCAAGUGGAAAUGCACAACUAGAAAGAGAAGACACACCCACAUGCAAAGGAAAGGAGAAACAUGGGCAGAAAAUGGGUGGAUUGGUGGCUGAAAUGAUGAAGCAUGUGUGUGCAAAAGAAAAGGAGAAACAUGGACAGCACACACCCAUGCAAUCUGCACAUGCAAAGGAAAUAGAGUGGUCCUCUCCCUAGCCUAUAAACAUCCACCACCCCCUUCCAAAAGAACACCAUCUUGAUCCACAAUUGCUAAAUUUACAAACACAAGUCCCUUGCCGUGAGCUCCAUUCCAUUUCAUCCAUCUUCAUCCAUAUACACACUACAUUUCACAAACACAAAUACAUUUUCUCCCUUUGCCACGUUCUCCAUCCAAUCUAAACCUAUCCAUGAUCCUUCCAUUCAUCCAUAAACUCCAUUUCCUUUGCAUGGGUGUAUGCUGUCCAUGUUUCUCCUAUUCUUUUGCACACACAUGCUUCAUCAUUUCAGCCACCAAUCCACCCAUUUUCUGCCCAUGUUUCUCAUUUCCUUUGCAUGUGGGUGUGUCUUCUCUUUCUAGCUGUGCAUUUCCACUUGCUCCAAAGCCAAAUGAGUGCAAUCAUAACCCCAUUUGAUGCUGAGUGUUGAUGACAAAGCAAAACACAAAACAAGUGCAUUUACUUUCUCAUUUUAUUAGCCUAAUCUGCUUAGCCCUUUUUUGAACCUUUCAAUGCUACAAUGCCCAUAACUUCUUCUAGAAAAAUGAUAUUAACAAUCCGUAAAUUUCUCCAGAAAAUAGACCUCCGUAGUUUUCCAAGCAUAUAAGGCUCAUUCUCUCAUUCAUUCUGAGCUGUUCGUAACAUGCUUCUAAAGUCAACUAAUCUGCACAGGCAGUUUUGACGAAUUUGUUGGCUGUCUAUGUUUCUCUUUUGCACAUGCCUUGUAUGAUGUUGUCUCCAUAUUCUUGUGGCAGAAAUGUUAAGUAAUGAUGAAGGGUUGCUGCUGCACAAGUGUGAAGGAUGGUGCUCAAGGUCUCUUUGCAUGCGUCUUUGUUGUCAUGUUAUCAUUAUUUCCACAUCCACAAGCUGUCACACUUAAACACACAUGCUCUUCAUUAUUUCAGCCACAAAUCACCCAUUUGCUACCCUCCAACCUAUCCUUGCCGUGGGUUUCCAUGUGUUUGUGCUGUCAUUGUUUACUUUUGCAUUUGCACACACACAUCUUCAUCAUAUCAGCCACAAUCAACACAUGUUCUCCAUCACAUGGCAACUAUGAUGUUUGUUAGUUGUAGGUCACACACUUGCACACACAUAUGUUGAAUUUUAAUCUUCCCAAAACGUCAAUCCUCAUGUCUCCAAGUGCAUGCAAUCUAUUUCAGCCCAAAAUGCACUUUUCUUGCCAACUUUGUUAUUAGGACCUACCAACAUACGAAAAUGGCUUAAAACACUCUUAUAAGCAAUAACUAACUAAAUAAGUGCAAGAAAACAUGUUAACUAAGUCGCAUAAGUAUACUCCUAUCAGAGAGCACGCCAUAAUAUUUUGUCAUCAAAGGCCCCAGCUUGGCUGCAAUCGAUGAAGAAAGCCUUGACUUGUCUAGAGUCGACAAAGAAAAAUGAGUGCCAAAGUAUUCACCCAACCAACCAUACACAUAGUGGUAAGGAAGCACUGCAGCACGAUCUUCAGUGCUUGCCAAGUUCGAAACAAUGCUCAAGCCAUUAUAAAUGUUGGUUAAGACCAGAAUAGCAAGGCUAAAAGACUCACUUGCAGCCGUCUUGGUAGCAACUUUGAAAACUCCAGGACGAACUAAGUUGACGUCGCCUGUUGGGAAAACAAACUUACAAAGCCAACAAGCUAAGAAAGCAGCUAGGUAAGACUCCUCCACAUGCUCUGAUGCUAUGCCAAGAUUCUCAAACGCUCUCAACUCGUCAGAAGAGCAGCGCCUGGUUGAGCCAAUAACACCGGACGGGUCUGAUUCUCCCUUUGGCCUAGUGGUCUUGUUAUGGCCACUAUUCUUCAAAUGCUUCUUAUUCCUCACGGCCUCUUUGUACCGAAAUCGGAUCCAUGAGGAAAUUCUCACACCUGAUUUACCUUGAGCAUCCUGAAAAAACUUGUGAUACGCCCAAAACAAACAACGGCAACUCGCAGGCAAUCCUCAGCUAUUGCAAAGAGAAAGUUCCUCCCCGCUGGGAACGACCUCGUCGUAAAACUUACCUUUGAUCGGCAUGCCUCCUAUCCUGUGAAGAUCCCAAAGUGAAAUUGACAUCUCCCCUUGCGUCGUGUGAAGUGUGUUGGUCGUCGAACACCAAUGCUAAAAGAAUUCACGAUGGACGGAAGGAUGGCGAUCAUAACUAAACAAAGAUGCGUACACAGCGUGGUAAAGGCCCACGUUAGUAAGCACAUAUUUAGAUCGGCUUAUGACAUCUUCAAGCCACUCCCAAUAAAACUCAUCAAAGACGGCCUCUUCAGUAAUCGACAUGGUACGAUUCCAAGCCAUACCUCCGCUACGGAUGUGAUCACCAAGAAGCUUAAACGAGGCCGGAUGAUUGUCACGAGCAUGGUGUGAAGGAUUCAAGAUAAGAACCCUCGAUAUGCACGGCUUCUUCUUCGUAUUUGGUUGAACAGAGUCUACCACCUUCCAAGAUACUUCGGAAGACCACGACUUGAUAUGCAUGGAGUUGUCUUUCGCGAGAAGAGCAAGCGCCUUAGGACCAGUCAGUGGCACGUAAAGCUUCAACGUUGUUCCCUUAUCUUGCGAAUCGCCGUCCUUCGCAAGAAUGGUGAUGGUGUUGCUCUUAAAACACUUGAAAAAUACCAUGACUGCAAGAAAAAAAAAAUCAGCCACAAAACUUGAGCGGCACGGCAAAUAGGGCAGCUACAGAGCGGUCCUUCAAAGCACGCUACACUGGCAAAGAAAACCAAAAUGCUACGCAAUCGCACUACACAACAAAAUCCCGCUGCAGUCUUUUGCACAACACCACGUGGUCUGCUCCAAGCUCCAAAGUUCACCAGUCCGACAAGCAGCAAAGCACAGAAGAACGUUCACAGCAGAAGGAAGUUAUGUCUAUGGUCAUUUUGUAGGCUCAACUCGUCCGUCCAAAUGAAGAAAAGAAAAGAAAGAAAUAUAUAUGAUAAUAAUAUAAUAAAAAAAAAAUUUGGGUGCUUCAUGCACCAUGUUAAAGAAAACAUAAAAUAUAUGUAUAUAUUAUUAAAAAAUUUCGGUGCUUGCAGCACCAUGCAAAGAAAAUAAUAACAAAAUAACAAAAAAAAUAAAUAUAUAUCAGGUCUUCGAUGCAUCAGGCACCAUCUUAAAAGAAUAAAAAAAAUAUACAAAAGGUUUUUUUGUUUUGGUGCUUCAAGCACCAUGAGAAUAAAAAAAUAAAAAGAAAAAAAAUAUUUAUAAUAAAAAAUAAAGGCAAUUGGAAUGGUGCUGUGAGAGUUUGUGUAUAUAAAUAUUAUAUAUGCAACAAAGUAGCAGCAGGUCAUGCAGAGGCUGUUUAAUGCUUCAAUCAGUCUUCCUAAAAAUAUGCAUUGAUUGGUCAAGGCGCAGAGAAGAAAAAAAAAAGUACCACAUCUUAGUUAAAAUGAAAUAAAACUCAUUUAUUAUUUCUCUAAAAAUUUACAUAAAUGAACAUUUUUACAUGAGUCCAAAAAAUAAAAUAAAAUAAAAUAAAAUGAACAAACAAUAGGGAGCCAUCACAAAGUUUGAUCAGGUGCCGCCUCAUCACUCGGCGGAGCGCCAGGAAGAAGAGGCGCUGGAGGUUGAUUGUUUGGAGCCUCAACACUCGGUAAAACUCUAGAGGACGAAGGCAAUAGGUGCCUCUGGAGUAAAGCCACAAACAUCUGAUGGUCAUUCUGAAUCCAACUUUCGGAUUCCUGCAGCUGGUCAAUCUUUCUCUUCAUGCUCGUCGAGUAACUAUUGGCAAGCAUGUGCAACUCUUUGUUUUCAUGCUUAAGCCCUCUAAUCUCUUGCUUAAGACUUGCCACCUCAACCAUCAGUGACUCCACUUGACGGGUUCGAGCAAGAAGGCGUUGGCCCGUAUUUGAUACGAAGCCCGCACACUGAACACUGAAAGCCAGAGAGUCCUGAACAGCUAGCUCAUCAGACCGUUUGGAAAUGAUCCUACUAUCCUUGGGGGUGAAGAUUUCUAGCAACCACAAAAGGAGGGAAAUUCCUAACAGGUAGCAACUCUCUAAGUGUGUUUUUGAACACGAUUAAUGCCUCUAUAAAAAGAAGGGGCAACAGGGCCUGUUCAGAAAUCGAAGAGGCAACGUGGUUGUUCAGAGAUCGAAGAGGCACCGCUCUCGGAAUUUCAAAGACCGGCUUUUCCGGAUUUGUCGCCACUCUUCACACGCAACCUUAACUUUGCAGAAAGCACAUGCAACUUUGUCAAAGAUAUCUGACAAAGUCGAAAACGCAUGAAUCUUACUGUUUCAAUUACCCAACGGUUGCCGAUAAGAGUAAAGGAAUAGUGCCACUACUGGCUGUUGGGAAAUUCCUAUAUAUGUCGACCUUCCUCCUCCAUAGUAAGGCAGACCUGCAAAAAAUGCCCAACCCUUCCUCACUUCCGAGAGUGUACUCCCAUCAGAGCCUCUCGAAAUACUCAAUUUUCUUCCUAUCCAGGAAUACCUUGUCAAACAAAUGACACCAAUGCAAAAGUAUCUCAUAUCAUCAGGGUAGAAAGCAAGAGUAUCUCAUAUCAUGCAAUCUCCCUGUUCUUUCCUUUGUCAUUGUUCUUACCUGCAAAGACAAAGAUAAAGAAAGCAAUAUGUCGGAACCUCCACUCAAACUUCUGAUCUGAAACUGAUUGCCUGGAACCCUUCCCUGAUUGCUUACCUAGCACUGCUCUCGAAGUACCCAUUGUUUCAACAUCUUGUGCUUCCAGAGAAGAUACCACAUCUGUCUGAAGAACAUGUAAAGCAAGUGAAAAUGAUACAUUGAAGCAUAUGGAGACAAGCACAACAAAGUAUGUGCCGAUUCAUCCGCUACUUCUUCAAAAUCAAAAGUAUCUCAUAUCAUCAGGGUUGCGAUCACUCUGGGUUGGGUGGACUAGUUUUGACCCUCAAAUUCUUGGGUCGACUCGCUAGGCGUUAUGAGCUGCACGUGCCGAUUCACCACCCUUGAAUCAAAUCCUUAAAGAUUUGAUCUCCGUAAGAUGUUGAUUUGUGGAUGUUUUGUUGAUCAAGGGCCGUCGAGGCUUGAUCUUGGAUGAACUGUUAGAAGUUUCUUCAAGAGCUCUCGGGGCUUGAUCUUGAAGGGCCGUUAGGGCUUGAUCUUGAAGGAGGAUUUGACGAAUAACUAAGAGGGCUUUCUUGAUCCUUCGGGAUUUGCUUGAGUGCUUUAGAGUUUCGAAGCUUCAGGGUGUUUGUAUGAUGUGAAUUGGUGUUUUUUUUAGGAUGUCUGAUACCUUGAUGGAGAAGCCCAUUUAUAGGCUUUGAGAAUGAAUCACCACCACAAAAUUUUCCCACUUAAGCACCAUUACCUAAUUUUCCCACUUAAUGCAAUAUUGAAAUUGAAGUGGUCUAACAUUUGGCCUAAUUUCCCACUUAAUACCAUUUUAAACUUAAAGUGGUCUAACUUAUGGUCUAAUUUUCCCGCUUGAUACAAUUUUAAACUUGAAGUGUGCUUGCUUUGUCAGUGCCCAAAUGAGAAAAACUUGUUUUGAUCUGUAAUGGAUUGAAAUGUGCUUACCUUGUCAUUGCCCAAAAUGAGAAGAAAAACUUGUUUUCAUCCAUAAUGGAUUGAAGUGUGCUUGCCUUGUCAUUGCCCAAACAUGAGAAGAAAAACUUGUUUAAUCCUCCAAGGAUGUUAAACAAAUCCAGUUCAAGAUUAAGUUUGUGGAAAGUAAAUUCAAACCCUUGGAGGAAACCAGAAAACCCUCCAGUUCAAGAUUAAGCUUGUGGAAAAUCAACAAUUGGAGAAAACCCUCCAACCCAAUUCAAGAUCAAGCCUCGACGGCCCUUGGAUUGACAUCUACAUUAAGGUACUUCAAAACGCAUCUUCUACACGUGACAAACACAUGUAUACGACACGCCUUGAAGUGGAGGCAUUUGUAGACAAUGAAAUUUCCGUAAAUAAAUCUUCACCAACGCAUUAAAGUUUCGACGUGUCACGGCAUACAUGGGAUGCGCCACGUGUCACACAAUUGUACACAUGGCAUGUGACUCAACAAAUUGGAAGAAAUACCCUUGGAGGAUUAAACAAGUUUUUCUUCUCAUGUUUGGGCAAUGACAAGGCAAGCACACUUCAAUUCAUUAUGGAUGAAAAUAAGUUUUUCUUCUCAUUUUGGACAAUGACAAGGUAAACACAUUUCAAUCCAUUACGGAUCAAAACAAGUUUUUCUCUUUUGGGCAAUGACAAAGCAAGCACAUUUCAAGUUUAAAAUUGUAUCAAGUGGGAAAAUUAGGCCAUAAGUUAGACCACUUUAAGUUUAAAAUGGUAUUAAGUGGGAAAUUAGGUCAAAUGUUAGACCACUUUAAUUUUAAUAUUGCAUUAAGUGGGAAAAUUAGGUAAUGGUGGUUAAGUGGGAAAAUUUUGUGCUGGUGAUUCAUUUUCAAAGCCUAUAAAUAGGCUUCUCCAUCAAGGUAUCAGGCAUCCUAAAAAAAACACCAAUUCACAUCACACAAACACCUUGAAGCUUUGAAACUCCAACGCUCUCAAGCAAAUCCCAAAGGAUCAAGAAAACCCUCUUCGUUCUUCGUCAAAUCCUCCUUCAAGAUCAAGCCCUAACGGCUCUUGAAGAACUACCACCAAUUCAAGAUCAAGCCUCGACGACCCUUGAAAGUGUUCAUUGUUCAUCCUAAGAUCAAGCCCCAACGGCCCUUUGGAUCAACAACAUCAACAAAUCCACAUAUCCAUUCUUCAAGAUCAAGCCCAAAAGCUCUUGAAGAUCUGUUCAUCCUCAAACCUUCAAGAUCAAGCCUAAAAGCCCUUGAAGGAACUUCCCUCAACCUUCAAGAUCAAGCCCGAGGGCUCUUGAAGAAACUUCCCUCAACCUUCAAGAUCAAGCCCGAGGGCUCUUGAAAAAACUUCCAACAGUUCAUCCAAGAUCAAGCCUCGACGGCCCUUGGAUCAACAAAACAUCCACAAAUCAACACCUUAUGGAGAUCGAAUCAGAGGAUCAAGUUAUAAAGAGAUUGUAACCCUACAAAUCUAUUAACACCAAAAUCUUUCUUUGUACACGUUCUUGUUUCAAGAAUUUUCGUGUUCACAAAUUUGGCACACCCAGUGGGACAGGUCUCUACCUCUCAUCUCUUUCUCCAUUCAAGGAAAUCAAAGCACACAUUUGAAAAUCAAAUGACAUCAAGGAAGGUUCAAGCGGUUCUCGCAACCAACGCGAAGAACAAGAACAUCCUCGCCGCAAGUGGUGACACCAAGAAGUUUAAACGAGGCCGGAUGAUUGACACCAAGGAUUCAAGAUAAAAACCCUCAAUAUGCACGCCUUCUUCGUAUUUGGUCGAACAGAGUCUACCAUCUCCUAAGAUACUUCGGAAGACCACGACUUAAUAUGCAUGAAGUUGUCUUUCGCGAGAAGAGCAAGCGC